Cyprinus carpio carpio is the source of this 763-nucleotide long non-coding RNA. NCBI's taxonomy places the organism in Eukaryota, Metazoa, Chordata, Actinopteri, Cypriniformes, Cyprinidae. The record is from Ensembl.
AUAAGAUCAAGAAGCUCAUCUUCAUCAUCACCAUCAAGGGCGUCUUGCAAAGCAGUGGACAAGAGAUCGCGCUCAGACUGACUAAGAUACAACAUUAGUGAGUCAAACAAUAAAUCAGGUGAGACAGUGUGUUCACCAAAUGUGAUUGCUGCUGUAAAGGCUUGAGCCAGCCGAGAAGGAAAAUAUCCAUGGUCCUUUAAUCCCUUGACCAUUAUCCUACCAACAGAUUUCCAUUCUUCCUCUUGCCAUUUUGGGGAUAGUGAUGGCACCCUCACAUCUGCACCCUCUGCUGCACAGUCUAAAAACUCUGUCCAGAAGGCAGCAUAUACAUCCCUGGACACGCCAUCAGCAUCUGCCCCCAUUUCAUGAAUGAAGCUGUAUUUCACAGAGUAGGACAUCAUCGCUUCAUCCUUGAAUUGGAAAUGCCUUGUAGCAAUCCUAUCACCAUAUGCUGGAAUGUAAGCAGUCAUAGUGGCAUCAUCUAUUUCUCCAAUUACCGAGCUGUCAAUCUGUAAUGAAAACAAAACAAUACAGAAUCCCUCGGCUCUGAAGAAACAUCCACAGACCGUCAUCUUGUGGGAGGGGGGUAUUUGAAGACGUAGCCAUAGCUGGCCCUGAACAAAUGUCGGAAAAAGGCAGUAUUUAUGUAAAUAUGUGUUGCACCACAAAUAUAAACAGAUUUAGGACUGUACCCUCAAAAGUGUAAUUGCUUAAAGUAUCUCAAAAAUGUAUUUCUCCAUUUUUUACGAGAACAUUAAUAAAG